RNAcentral lists this long non-coding RNA (5172 nucleotides) under Theobroma cacao (cacao). RNAcentral describes it as "long non-coding RNA (TCAC_LNC001805)". The record is from RNAcentral. Lineage: Eukaryota; Viridiplantae; Streptophyta; Magnoliopsida; Malvales; Malvaceae.
UCGUAUUGGCAUUACUCAUUUAAAAUAUACAUACAUUGUCUACAGCAUGUAUCUUAAUAAUUUACAUCAAGUUUGUCUAUACAUCUCAAAAAGAAGACUCGAUUUCCAACGGAGGGACUCAGACGAAUUUACAGCUACUAAAUGUCGAGACACCUACCAAAAGAUGGAUAUAAGUCUACAAGGACACCUCGUCUUAAUUACCGACUACCUCGUGAUCUGAAAACAUGAAGUUGAAAACGGUGAGUAUAAACCCAAUGAGUGAACAAGAAAGGGAACAAGCAUACCAUAAGGAAUCUUUAACGAAAUCAUGAUGCAUUCUUUUUCAAAACAAUGCAAUUUGUUUCUAUUCUUAUUAAAAACCCCUCAUCAAGCCCUUAAAUGAUUAAUCAUUUAAAAAUCAUGAAGCCAUACAUAACAAACCAUUUGAAGAAUGAAAGCUUCAAUAUUACACAAGUAAGUCAAAUACGACAACGAAUCUUCACUGUAGUGGAAACGCAUUCUCGCUGUCGGUAAUUAAGAUGAGGUUCAAUGCGAGAUUCAAUCUCGCUGCAGUGAAAUUGGAACCCAGAAACAGAAGGUUUCUCGCUGCAGCGAAAUUCAGCUGACGAAACAAAGAGUUUCUCGCUGCAGCGAGAUUCUUUUUCACUGCAGCGAGAAGCUACAGUGACUAUCUUGCUGCAACGAAAUACAUUCUCACUGCAGCGAGAACCAGUUCUGGUGAAGGUUCUCAAACCCGAGAGUUUCUCACUAUAGCAAGAAUGAAUUUCGCUGCAGCGAAAACAAAGCAACUAGAGAAAAGUUUCCUCUCACUCAACAAAAAGGCCAUCCUGCUAAACCAACAAAAUAAACAUACAGCACAUGAAAAUUCCUAAAGUGCAAUGUAUCAAAUUUCUCAUAUAUAUCAAUCAUAUAUCACAUUCAUAAGUUUUCAUUUCAUAAGUCUAGAUGUGCAUAAUUACAUAGAUAAACAUCAACAUCAUCAUAAUCACACCCGGCUCAUGUACAUCCCCCCACAUCGUGCACAUAGCCGGCACCAUUGUGUGCAUCCCCCCACAUCGUGCACAAUCAGUGCCAUCGUGUACAUCCCCUCUACAUCGUGCACACGAGCACUAUCAUCAUCCAUCUCUCAUGCCACCAUUAUCACCGGCAUGUGCAUCCCCCCACAUCGUGCACACACACGGUUACAGUCAUUAUACACAAUAUCAUUCAUCAUGCAUAACACACACAUUUAUAUAUCAUCAUACUACAAUAGUGCAUGAAUCCAUAGCAAUCACAUAUCACAACAUAAAACCAUUUUGCAAAAGCUUGUUCCCAAGGCACUUGUCUUUAUGAAAAACUUGAUAAUUCAUUCAAAUAGGUGGCAAAUACACUAUAUUUCUCAAAACAAGUUUUGAAGACAAUCCACUCACCGAUAUUUUGUUGAGCCUUUAACAGACUCUAAUUUCUCUAAUUGUCCAAAUGGAAUGGUGGAACUUUGUUGGAACCUACCAUUACAUUAACAUCACCAUUAUGUUAAUUCACAUAAUAUAAACUCUAAAAGCUAUCUCUUAGCUAGCUUCCAAAUGCCACUUUAAAUGCUAUUUAUGUUCACUAUCUUAAUUACUAUAAAAUGAAUGAACAUCCUUAACAAUAAACAGCUCAUAAUCCUAAUUACUAGCCAUUUUCUACAGAAAAAAACCGAAUUUAGUUCAUCACUCACCCUUGGGUUUCUUUGUAGUUGAAUUCUCUUCUAAUAGCUUCCAAAUAAAUGGGGUAAUUCUCUAUUUCUCUUUCUAGAACGCCCAACUAGUGAGAAAAAGUAUGGAAAUAAGAUUUAUCAAGGGUUUUAAAGUGAGAGAGUGAAAGAGCACAAGGGUUUAUGGAAGGGUGCACCAAAAGCAUGAAAAUUAGAGCUAGAGAGAGAAAGUUAUGGAAGCUUGAAGAAAACUCCCAUGGAGGAAUUGAAGAAACGUGAGAGGGAAUAAGGAAGAAGAAGACAAGCUACUGGAAAUUUCAAGAAGGUGUUGGAAAUUCAAGAUAUUUAUAGGCCAAAUUUAUCCAUUCCCUUAAAAUUACGAAAUUGCCCCUCCACCAAUUAACUUACUCUCCUCCAAUUUUUUAUGCAAUCUUUUUGUUCUUUUGACACUGGGACAAGGUCCAUAAUGGUCUAAACAUACUCGGGUUUAUAAAAACUUAAAAUUUUAACCCAAGGUGAAAAAUGACCAUUUUGCCCCUAUCGUGAAAGUUAUUGUCAUUUCUAGUUUUCUUCGUGUUUUCAUCAUUACACGUCAUUUAUACAGUCUUAUGCCUAUUUAGACCUUAAAAUAUCAUAAAACUUUCUUUUGAGAGCUUAUUAGAGAAAAUGACGAAACUACCCUUGGUUCGUAUUAUUACAUCUAUGCUUAGUUACAAGCCUAUAGAGGUUAGGGUCUCACAAAUUAGCUCCAGUUGCAAGGAAAUUCAGAAAGCUAAUGAGAAGAAGAAAUUGAAGGCUAACUAGAAGAGGUUUUAGGAAAGACCAAGCUACUUCAUGGAAAAUAAGGAACAAAAAUGACUCCAACAAAAAGGAAAAGAUGAACUGCUACGAAUGCAAGAAACCUGGUCACUUUAAGUCCGAGUGUCCAUUGUUGAAAGAUGAAACCCCCAAGAAAAAUAAGAAAUCCAAGAAAGCAAUGGUGGCUGUUGCAUGGUCGGACAGUGACACAUCAAGCUUUGAAACUGAUGAUGAAAAAUCUGAGGAAAGAGCAAACAUCUGUUUAAUGGUACAAGAGGAAAAACAGAGGUACCCUCAUCCCCUUGUAUUAAUUCUUAUGAUGAUUUACAAGAUGAGUAUGAGUGCCUUUAUGAUGAAUUUGAAAAGCUUUUCUCAAAAUACAAAUCAUUAAAGAAAAAGGCUACAUUUCCUGAAAAUGAUUUGGAGCAAAUCAAACAAGAGUUUACUUCUGUUUUUGAGCAAAGAAAUAUUUUGCAAAUUGAGUUAGAACACUCAAAAACAGACUUUAAAACUAGAGUUGGAAAACAAGUCUGAAGCUUUGCAAAUAACUCUUGAUGAAAAUACAGCUCUUAAAUGUUUGAAAAAUGAAUCCUUAAAAAAAGAUGUAUACCAUAAUAAAAAUUUAGCUAAAGCAUUACCUAGAUGUUAUAAUUAUGGUAAAUAUGGUCAUUUAUCAUAUGAGUGUUUUAAGAAAAUAACAGAGCGAAACGUUAAGAAAAUGUGGGUUCCUAAGGGAUCCUUUGUUGCUACUAACACUCAAGGACCCAUCAAAGUAUGGGUACCUAUAAAGACAAACUGAAAUUCUGUUUUGUAGGUUGAGCUAGAUUUAAAGGAGACAUGUUCAAAAGUUCAACUCAAGAAGAAACAGCCUUGGUACUUGGACAGUGGCUGUUCACGGCACAUGAAAGGACAUGAAAUGCUAUUUGCUCAGCUGGAUAAGAGAAAGGGAGGAACCGUAUCCUUUGGAGAUGAUUCAAAAGGAAGAAUUCAUGGUAUAGGUACGGUUGGUAAGAAUUCCCAAACUCAAAUUAGUCAUGUGUUGCUGGUUAAAGGCUUAAGCAUAAUUUACUAAGUAUUAGUCAAUUAUGUGAUAAAGGAUUUAAAGUAUACUUUGAUUCAACUAAGUGUGAAGUGAUUGACAUGAGUACAAAUAAAAUCUCAUUAUAGGAAANGGAUUUAGAGUGUGCUUUGAUUCAACUAAGUGUGAAGUGAUUGACAUGAGUACAAAUAAAAUCUCAUUUAUAGGAAAUAGAUUGAAGAAUAUGCAUGUAAUUUUUCUUGAAGUUCUUAAAGUAAAUAGUGAAGUAUGUCUUAUUGCAAAUGCUGAAAAUGAUAGUUGGCUAUGGCAUAGGAGAUUAGGACAUGUGAGCAUGAAUACUAUGUCAAAAUUAAUUAAGAAAAAUUUUAUUACUGGACUGCUUGAGUUAAAAUUUGAAAAUGAUAGGAUAUGUGAUGCUUGCCAACUAAGAAAACAAGUUAGGACAUCCUUCAAGUCUAAGAAAAUUGUGUCAACAUCUAGACCUCUUGAAUUGCUUCAUAUUGAUCUAUUUGGUCCAAUAAGCACAACUAGCUUAGGAGGAAAAUCUUAUGGCUUUAUUAUAGUUGAUGACUAUUCUAGAUAUACUUGGGUGUAUUUUCUUGCUCAUAAGAAUGCUGCUCUACAAGCAUUCUUAAGUCAUUAUAAGAAAGUAGAAAAUGAAAAAGGCCUAGCCAUAGUUAGCAUAAAAAGUUAUCAUGGAGGAGAAUUUGAAAAUGAUGAGUUUGAAAAGUUUUGCAAUGAAAAGGGGUUGGAUCACAAUUGUUCUGCACCUAGAACACCCCAGCAAAAUGGAGUUGUAGAGAGGAAAAACCAAACCUUGAAAGAAAUGGCUAGGACCAUGCUAUGUGAGAACAACCUACCUAAAUAUCUUUGGGCUGAGGUAGUAAAUACAACAGCUUAUAUUCUUAAUAGAGUCUUAAUAAGACUAUUGAUUUCGAAGACUCCAUAUGAACUCUAUAAAGGUAGGAAACCAAAUAUUUCUCACCUUAGGAGCUUUGGCUAUAAAUGCUUUGUAUUGAACAAUGGAAAACAACCCCUAGGGAAGUUUGAUGCAAUGAGUGAUGAAGUAAUAUUUUUAGGAUAUGCUUUAAAAUCAAAGGCCUAUAGAGUUUUUAACAAAAGGACCUUGACUGUUGAAGAAUCAAUUCAUGUAGUUUUUGAUGAGUCAAAUGCAUUGCAAAAAAAAGUUCAUGAUGAUGAUGAUGAUGUAGAAGUCCUAGAAAAACAAAUGAAGGAAAUGAGCUUGGAAAACAACAAAAAUAAUGAAGAAAGCUCACCUAAAAGAGAAGAUGAAACUUCACCUCUAGAAAAUCUGCAAAGAGUAGAAAAUCAGCAGGAUGAUCAACCAAGGAGUUGGAGAUUUGUGAGAGAUCACCCACAAGACCAAAUAAUUGGUGAAAUUUCUCAAAAAGUUAAAACUAAGAAAGCAACUAGAGAAACUUGUGAGUUUUCAACUUUUAUAUCUCAAAUUGAACCUAAAAACUUUGAAGAAGCUGAAAAAUAGGAAAGUUUGAUAAUGGCCAUGCAAGAAGAACUUGAUCAAUUCACAAGGAGUCAUGUAUGGUCAUUGGUACCUAGACCAUCAAAUCACCCUAUUGUUGGUACAAAAUGGGUGUUUAGAAAUAAGGUAGAUGAUUAAGGAAAUUAUAAUACCCCGUAC